ACUCCUACGGGAGGCAGCAGUGGGGAAUAUUGCACAAUGGGGGAAACCCUGAUGCAGCCAUGCCGCGUGUGUGAAGAAGGCCUUCGGGUUGUAAAGCACUUUCAGUAGGGAGGAAGGUAGUGUAGUUAACACCUGCACUAUUUGACGUUACCUACAGAAGAAGCACCGGCUAACUCCGUGCCAGCAGCCGCGGUAAUACGGAGGGUGCGAGCGUUAAUCGGGAAUUACUGGGCGUAAAGCGCAUGCAGGCGGCCUGUAAGUCAGAUGUGAAAGCCCGGGGCUUAACCUCGGAAUUGCAUUUGAAACUGGCAGGCUAGAGUCUUGUAGAGGGGGGUAGAAUUUCAGGUGUAGCGGUGAAAUGCGUAGAGAUCUGAAGGAAUACCAGUAGGCGAAGGCGGCCCCCUGGACAAAGACUGACACUCAGAUGCGAAAGCGUGGGGAGCAAACAGGAUUAGAUACCCUGGUAGGACG
Molecule: ribosomal RNA, 471 nt
Filed under: uncultured bacterium
Lineage: Bacteria
Description: bacterial SSU rRNA
Rfam family: Bacterial small subunit ribosomal RNA
Source: RNAcentral